Molecule: transfer RNA, 74 nt
Filed under: Candidatus Stahliibacteriota bacterium CG23_combo_of_CG06-09_8_20_14_all_34_7
Lineage: Bacteria; Candidatus Stahliibacteriota
Description: bacterium (Candidatus Stahlbacteria) CG23_combo_of_CG06-09_8_20_14_all_34_7 tRNA-Arg
Rfam family: tRNA
About the family: Transfer RNA (tRNA) molecules are approximately 80 nucleotides in length. Their secondary structure includes four short double-helical elements and three loops (D, anti-codon, and T loops).
Source: RNAcentral
GCACCCGUAGCUCAACUGGAUAGAGCAGCGGAUUCCGGUUCCGCAGAUUGAAGGUUCAAAUCCUUUCGGGUGUA